UACGUAGGUGGCGAGCGUUGUCCGGAUUUACUGGGCGUAAAGGGAGCGUAGGCGGACUUUUAAGUGAGAUGUGAAAUACUCGGGCUCAACUUGAGUGCUGCAUUUCAAACUGGAAGUCUAGAGUGCAGGAGAGGAGAAUGGAAUUCCUAGUGUAGCGGUGAAAUGCGUAGAGAUUAGGAAGAACACCAGUGGCGAAGGCAGCUCACUGGACUGCAACUGACACUGAGGCUCGAAAGUGUGGGUAUCAAACAGG
This 253-nucleotide ribosomal RNA is filed under the name uncultured Clostridiaceae bacterium. RNAcentral describes it as "partial 16S ribosomal RNA". It matches the Rfam family "Bacterial small subunit ribosomal RNA", at positions 524 to 776 of the family's 1533-position model. The record is from RNAcentral. Lineage: Bacteria; Bacillati; Bacillota; Clostridia; Eubacteriales; Clostridiaceae.